UCCGUAGGUGAACCUGCGGAAGGAUCAUUACAGUAGUCACCCAGGUUGCCGCAAGGCCUCCUGGGUAACCUACCACCCUUUGUUUAUUACACUUUGUUGCUUUGGCAAGCCUGCCCUCGGGCUGCUGGCUCCGGCCGGCGAGCGCUUGCCAGAGGACCUAAACUCUGUUUGUCUAUACUGUCUGAGUACUAUAUAAUAGUUAAAACUUUCAACAACGGAUCUCUUGGUUCUGGCAUCGAUGAAGAACGCAGCGAAAUGCGAUAAGUAAUGUGAAUUGCAGAAUUCAGUGAAUCAUCGAAUCUUUGAACGCACAUUGCGCCCCCUGGUAUUCCGGGGGGCAUGCCUGUCCGAGCGUCAUUACAACCCUCAAGCUCAGCUUGGUAUUGGGCCCCGCCGACCCGGCGGGCCCUAAAGUCAGUGGCGGUGCCGUCCGGCUCCGAGCGUAGUAAUUCUUCUCGCUCUGGAGGUCCGGUCGUGUGCUCGCCAGCAACCCCCAAUUUUUUUCAGGUUGACCUCGGAUCAGGUAGGGAUACCCGCUGAACUUAAGCAUAUCAAUAAGCGGAGGA
RNAcentral lists this ribosomal RNA (566 nucleotides) under uncultured fungus. Its description in RNAcentral is "eukaryotic LSU rRNA". The stretch from base 204 to 357 matches the Rfam family "5.8S ribosomal RNA". The record is from RNAcentral. Lineage: Eukaryota; Fungi.